UUGGGACAUAAACUGGUUGAUCCCACGCUUCCAAGAAAAGCCUCGUAGCGAAUCUAUUUGGUGACCGUACCGCAAACCGACACAGGUGGGCGAGGAGAGAAUCCUAAGGCGCUUGAGAUAACUCUGGUUAAGGAACUUUGCAAAAUUGCACCGUAACUUCGGGAGAAGGUGUAUUCCGGCGCGUGUAAGAACUUGCUUCUGAAGCGUUCUGGAAUCGCAGUGAAGAGGGAGUGACGACUGUUUACUAAAAACACAGGGCUCUGCAAACUCGUAAGAGGAUGUAUAGGGUCUGACGCCUGCCCGGUGCUGGAAGGUUAAGGGGAGAUGUUAUUCAAGGAAACGAGGAGAAGCGUUGAACCGAAGCCCCAGUAAACGGCGGCCGUAACUAUAACGGUCCUAAGGUAGCGAAAUUCCUUGUCGGGUAAGUUCCGACCUGCAUGAAUGGCGUAACGAUUGCUCCGCUGUCUCAACCAGGGACUCAGCGAAAUUAUAAUGGGGGUGAAGAUACCCUCACCCCGCGGCAAGACGGAAAGACCCCGUGAACCUUUACUAUAGCUUGACAGUGAACUUCGGAAUAUCAUGUGUAGGAUAGGUGGGAGGCUAUGAAGCGUUGGCGCUAGCUGGCGCAGAGCCAACCUUGAAAUACCACCCUUGUUGUUUUGAGGUUCUAACUCUGGCCCGUAAUCCGGGUCGAGGACACUGUCUGGUGGGUAGUUUGACUGGGGCGGUCGCCUCCCAAAAUGUAACGGAGGCGCACGAAGGUCGGCUCAGGCUGAUUGGAAACCAGCCGAUGGGUGCAAAGGCAUAAGCCGGCUUGACUGUGAGACCUACAAGUCGAGCAGGAACGAAAGUUGGUCUUAGUGAUCCGGUGGUUCCAUAUGGAAGGGCCAUCGCUCAACGGAUAAAAGGUACUCCGGGGAUAACAGGCUUAUCUCCCCCAAGAGUUCAUAUCGACGGGGAGGUUUGGCACCUCGAUGUCGGCUCAUCGCAUCCUGGGGCUGAAGUAGGUCCCAAGGGUUUGGCUGUUCGCCAAUUAAAGCGGUACGUGAGCUGGGUUUAGAACGUCGUGAGACAGUUCGGUCCCUAUCUGCCGUGGGCGCAGGACAAUUGCGAGGAGCUGUCCCUAGUACGAGAGGACCGGGAUGGACGGACCUCUAGUGCACCAGUUGUCACGCCAGUGGCAUGGCUGGUUAGCUACGUCCGGAAGAGAUAACCACUGAAAGCAUCUAAGUGGGAAGCUCGCCUCAAGAUUAGUUGUCCCGUCUGGUAGCAAUACCGGGCUAAGAUCCCAGAUAGACUAUCUGGUUGAUAGGCCGAUGGUGUAAGCACAGUGAUGUGUUGAGCCUACCGGUACUAAUAGAUCGAGCGGCUUGACC
RNAcentral lists this ribosomal RNA (1376 nucleotides) under metagenome. RNAcentral's name for it is "bacterial LSU rRNA". It matches the Rfam family "Bacterial large subunit ribosomal RNA", at positions 1578 to 2925 of the family's 2925-position model. The record is from RNAcentral.